RNAcentral lists this transfer RNA (66 nucleotides) under Astalotermes cf. obstructus RDCT140. RNAcentral describes it as "tRNA-Pro". The record is from RNAcentral. Lineage: Eukaryota; Metazoa; Arthropoda; Insecta; Blattodea; Termitidae.
CAGGGGGUAUUUUAUAUAAAAUAUUAGUUUUGGGGAUUAAUGAAAUGGAUGCUUCCUUUCCCCUGA